GACGAACGCUGGCGGCGUGCCUAAUACAUGCAAGUAGAACGCACAGUUUAUACCGUAGCUUGCUACACCAUAGACUGUGAGUUGCGAACGGGUGAGUAACGUGUAGGUAACCUGCCUGGUAGCGGGGGAUAACUAUUGGAAACGAUAGCUAAUACCGCAUAAUAUUAAUUAUUGCAUGAUAAUUGAUUGAAAGAUGCAACUGCAUCACUACCAGAUGGACCUGCGUUGUAUUAGCUAGUAGGUGAGGUAACGGCUCACCUAGGCGACGAUACAUAGCCGACCUGAGAGGGUGAUCGGCCACACUGGGACUGAGACACGGCCCAGACUCCUACGGGAGGCAGCAGUAGGGAAUCUUCGGCAAUGGACGAAAGUCUGACCGAGCAACGCCGCGUGAGUGAAGAAGGUUUUCGGAUCGUAAAGCUCUGUUGUAAGAGAAGAACGGGUGUGAGAGUGGAAAGUUCACACUGUGACGGUAGCUUACCAGAAAGGGACGGCUAACUACGUG
This 505-nucleotide ribosomal RNA is filed under the name uncultured bacterium. RNAcentral describes it as "partial 16S ribosomal RNA". It matches the Rfam family "Bacterial small subunit ribosomal RNA", at positions 28 to 507 of the family's 1533-position model. The record is from RNAcentral.